CUCACCCCCCCCACAACCCUUCAAUCGCCGCAGCCCCUGGAAAUGGAAAAACGAAGGGCGAAUUGUGUUAUGGUUUUUGUUUUCGUUUGUAUAUUUUCCCUUUUUUAUUGGUAAGAUUUGUUCAAACCUCAUCCUGCCAUUGAUUUUCAUAACUGCUUCCCAGAGCCUCCCCAAUUUCUUCCCCGCAGAAGCCCUCUCCUUCCCUUCCUACGACGGAGCCUCGGAGUUCGGCGAUAUUAUCGGUAAUAUCGAUAAUAUCGAUAUUAUCGCGAUAUUUUGACGAUAAAUGACUGGAUAUGUGUAAAAAUAUCGCUCUCUGUAAAAAACGAUAUUAUCGGCGAUAUUUCGCCGAUAAUAUCGAUAUUUAAAACCAUGCUUUCAUCAAUUAAACAGGCUCCACUAUUAAUGAGAGGAAGAGAUAGACUUUAAGAGUUUUGUUGAUGCACAAAAUCAGAGGUUUUGAAACAGCGUAAAUCCGACCGUGAAUCUGCAUAAAAUGUAAAUAACACAAGAUGUAUCGUGGUUCACCCCAAGGUUUGGGCUACGUCUACACUGAUAUUAUUUCUGAGAUGUUGAAGAGGGAGAGAGAGAGCUUCUCUGUUAGAAUGAGAGCUCUGAAAGGGUGAGGGUAUGGCCUCAGAAAAUGGCCUCUCCCUAAUUGUGAGGGUGAGGAAUCCCUUUAUAGAAUAAGGACUCCUCACUUAUUAAAUAUUUGCCCCUUCCAUAAUUACAUUUAAGUCUCCCGAGUAUUUAUACGAGAUCUAAAUACGGAGGCCCUAAGUAUGGUAUAAACAAGUUUGAUUUCUUACCUGUUCCAAGUCAUGAUAUCAGGAUUGAUUUCACCAUUUUAUUGAAAAUGUAAUGUAGAUUGUGUAUAUUUUAUUAUGAAUAAUGAUUGUGUUUCCACAAGGGAAAUUAUUUGUCUCUCUACUCAUAAUUAAUGUAUUUUUACUAUAUAAAUAUUAGGGUAAAUAUCAGUUUAUUACCGUUAAGUUUCGUGGUUUUCAACAUUUGGUACAUGAAGUUUUUUUCGUCCCAGAGUCAUACCUAAAGUGUUAAUUUUGGGACAGUCUCAUACAUCCGUUAGUCAAACUGUUAACACUGCCGUUAACUGAUGAUGUGGUGUUAUGUGGAUAAUGACUGGACACCACAUGUCAUUAAGGGGUCCACGUGGAAAUUAAAAACUCAAAAAAAUAAAUAUUUAAAGAAAAAUAAAAA
RNAcentral lists this long non-coding RNA (1218 nucleotides) under Malus domestica (apple). RNAcentral describes it as "long non-coding RNA (MDOM_LNC007430)". Lineage: Eukaryota; Viridiplantae; Streptophyta; Magnoliopsida; Rosales; Rosaceae. The record is from RNAcentral.